RNAcentral lists this ribosomal RNA (280 nucleotides) under uncultured Staphylococcus sp. RNAcentral's name for it is "partial 16S ribosomal RNA". It matches the Rfam family "Bacterial small subunit ribosomal RNA", at positions 81 to 354 of the family's 1533-position model. Lineage: Bacteria; Bacillati; Bacillota; Bacilli; Caryophanales; Staphylococcaceae. The record is from RNAcentral.
CUCCUUUGACGUUAGCGGCGGACGGGUGAGUAACACGUGGGUAACCUACCUAUAAGACUGGGAUAACUUCGGGAAACCGGAGCUAAUACCGGAUAAUAUUUCGAACCGCAUGGUUCGAUAGUGAAAGGUGGUUUUGCUAUCACUUAUAGAUGGACCCGCGCCGUAUUAGCUAGUUGGUAAGGUAACGGCUACCAAGGCGACGAUACGUAGCCGACCUGAGAGGGUGAUCGGCCACACUGGAACUGAGACACGGUCCAGACUCCUACGGGAGGCAGCAGAC